UACGAGGGGGGCAAGCGUUGUUCGGAAUUAUUGGGCGUAAAGGGCGCGUAGGCGGUGCGGUAAGUCACCUGUGAAACCUCUAGGCUUAACCUAGAGCCUGCAGGCGAAACUGCCGUGCUUGAGGGUGGGAGAGGUGCGUGGAAUUCCCGGUGUAGCGGUGAAAUGCGUAGAUAUCGGAAGGAACACCAGUGGCGAAAGCGACUUCCUGGUCCAAUACUGACGUUCAUGUGCGAAAGCGUGGGGAGCAAACAGG
This 253-nucleotide ribosomal RNA is filed under the name uncultured prokaryote. RNAcentral's name for it is "partial 16S ribosomal RNA". It matches the Rfam family "Bacterial small subunit ribosomal RNA", at positions 524 to 776 of the family's 1533-position model. The record is from RNAcentral.